UAAGGAAUAUUGCACAAUGGGGGGAACCCUGAUGCAGCAACGCCGCGUGGGUGAAGAAGGCUUUCGAGUUGUAAAACCCUUUUCUGUGGGAUGAGGAAGGACAGUACCACAGGAACAAGUCUCGGCUAACUACGUGCCAGCAGCCGCGGUGAGACGUAGGAGGCGAGCGUUAUCCGGAAUCACUGGGCGUAAAGGGCAAGUAGGCGGUUGUUCAAGUUGGGCGUGACAGAUCUCGGCUUAACUGAGGAACUGCGUCCAAAACUGUUGGGCUUGAGGAAGACAGAGGUAAGCGGAACUUAGGGUGGGGCGGUGAAAUGCGUUGAUAUCCUAGGGAACACCAGUAGCGAAAGCGGCUUUCUGGACGGUGUCUGACACUGAGGCGCGAAAGCCAGGGGAGCGAACG
RNAcentral lists this ribosomal RNA (403 nucleotides) under uncultured prokaryote. RNAcentral describes it as "bacterial SSU rRNA". It matches the Rfam family "Bacterial small subunit ribosomal RNA", at positions 355 to 774 of the family's 1533-position model. The record is from RNAcentral.